UACGGAGGAUGCGAGCGUUAUCCAGAUUUAUUGGGUUUAAAGGGUGCGUAGGCGGGCUUUUAAGUCAGCGGUAAAAAUUCGGGGCUCAACCCCGUCCGGCCGUUGAAACUGGGGGUCUUGAGUGGGCGAGAAGAAGGCGGAAUGCGUGGUGUAGCGGUGAAAUGCAUAGAUAUCACGCAGAACCCCGAUUGCGAAGGCAGCCUUCCGGCGCCCUACUGACGCUGAGGCACGAAAGUGCGGGGAUCGAACAGG
RNAcentral lists this ribosomal RNA (252 nucleotides) under uncultured bacterium. RNAcentral's name for it is "partial 16S ribosomal RNA". It matches the Rfam family "Bacterial small subunit ribosomal RNA", at positions 524 to 776 of the family's 1533-position model. The record is from RNAcentral.